UACUAUGCCUAGCCGUAACAUACAAUUAAACUACCAAUUGUCCGCCAAACAACUACGAGUUGCACUUAAAACUUAAAAGACUUGACGGUGCUUCACCACACCCUAGAGGAGCCUGUCUAGUAACCGAUAACCCACGAUUAACCCAACCCCCCCUAGCCUGACAGUCUAUAUACCGCCGUCGCCAGCUUACCUUGUAAAAGAAAUAAAGUGAGCUAAAUAGUAUACCACUAAAACGACAGGUCGAGGUGUAACUAAUGGGAGGGAUUAAGAUGGGCUACAUUCUCCUUUCUGAGAAACGAACAAUACUAUGAAACUAGUAUUUAAAGACGGAUUUAGCAGUAAGAUAAGAAUAAAAUACUUAACUGAACAUAACGCAAUGAAGUGCGUACACACCGCCCGUCACCCCUGCUACCACAACACACAACUUUAUAAACCACCAUAAAACAUAAACCA
This 453-nucleotide ribosomal RNA is filed under the name Sistrurus miliarius (pigmy rattlesnake). Its description in RNAcentral is "partial 12S ribosomal RNA". The record is from RNAcentral. Lineage: Eukaryota; Metazoa; Chordata; Lepidosauria; Squamata; Viperidae.